GACGUAGGGCGCGAGCGUUGUCCGGAUUUAUUGGGCGUAAAGAGCUCGUAGGCGGCUUGUCGCGUCGACUGUGAAAACCCGCGGCUCAACCGCGGGCCUGCAGCCGAUACGGGCAGGCUAGAGUUCGGUAGGGGAGACUGGAAUUCCUGGUGUAGCGGUGAAAUGCGUAGAUAUCAGGAGGAAUACCGAUGGCGAAGGCAGGUCUCUGGGCUAACACUGACGCUCAUGCACGAAAGCGUGGGGAGCAAACAGG
RNAcentral lists this ribosomal RNA (253 nucleotides) under uncultured bacterium. RNAcentral describes it as "partial 16S ribosomal RNA". It matches the Rfam family "Bacterial small subunit ribosomal RNA", at positions 524 to 776 of the family's 1533-position model. The record is from RNAcentral.